Molecule: ribosomal RNA, 450 nt
Filed under: uncultured bacterium
Lineage: Bacteria
Description: partial 16S ribosomal RNA
Rfam family: Bacterial small subunit ribosomal RNA
Source: RNAcentral
CCUACGGGCGGCUGCAGUAGGGAAUCUUCCGCAAUGGACGAAAGUCUGACGGAGCAACGCCGCGUGAGUGAAGAAGGUUUUCGGAUCGUAAAACUCUGUUGUCAGAGAAGAACAAGUUGGAGAGUAACUGCUCCAGCCUUGACGGUAUCUGACUAGAAAGCCACGGCUAACUACGUGCCAGCAGCCGCGGUAAUACGUAGGUGGCAAGCGUUGUCCGGAUCGAUUGGGCGCAGUGCGAGAGGUGGCGGUUGAAAGCCCACGGCUCCACCGUGGAAGGUCAUUGGAAACUGGGGAACUUGAGUGCAGAAGAGGAGAGUGGAAUUCCAUGUGUAGCGGUGAAAUGCGUAGAUAUAUGGAGGAACACCAGUGGCGAAGGCGACUCUCUGGUCUGUAACUGACGCUGAGGCUCGAAAGCGUGGGGAGCAAACAGGAUUAGAUACCCCAGUAGUC